GACAACAAAGCUCAGUGGGAGAGCGCAGGGCUUUGCCCUGAGGUUGCUGGUUCGACUCCAACCGUUGCCA
Molecule: transfer RNA, 70 nt
Filed under: Phytophthora kernoviae
Lineage: Eukaryota; Oomycota; Peronosporomycetes; Peronosporales; Peronosporaceae
Also listed under: 1 other name
Rfam family: tRNA
About the family: Transfer RNA (tRNA) molecules are approximately 80 nucleotides in length. Their secondary structure includes four short double-helical elements and three loops (D, anti-codon, and T loops). Further hydrogen bonds mediate the characteristic L-shaped molecular structure. tRNAs have two regions of fundamental functional importance: the anti-codon, which is responsible for specific mRNA codon recognition, and the 3' end, to which the tRNAs corresponding amino acid is attached (by aminoacyl-tRNA synthetases). tRNAs cope with the degeneracy of the genetic code in two manners: having more than one tRNA (with a specific anti-codon) for a particular amino acid; and 'wobble' base-pairing, i.e. permitting non-standard base-pairing at the 3rd anti-codon position.
Source: Rfam by way of RNAcentral